UACGGAGGGUGCGAGCGUUGUCCGGAAUCACUGGGCGUAAAGGGCGCGUAGGCGGCGCGAGCAGUCGAUCGUGAAAGUCCGGAGCUCAACUCCGGAUCGGCGGUCGAUACUCUCGUGCUUGAGCACUGUAGAGGCAGAUGGAAUUCCGGGUGUAGCGGUGGAAUGCGUAGAGAUCCGGAAGAACACCGGUGGCGAAGGCGGUCUGCUGGGCAGUAGCUGACGCUGAUGCGCGACAGCGUGGGGAGCAAACAGG
This 253-nucleotide ribosomal RNA is filed under the name uncultured bacterium. Its description in RNAcentral is "partial 16S ribosomal RNA". It matches the Rfam family "Bacterial small subunit ribosomal RNA", at positions 524 to 776 of the family's 1533-position model. The record is from RNAcentral.